GACAGAGGAUGCAAGCGUUAUCCGGAAUGAUUGGGCGUAAAGCGUCUGUAGGUGGCUUUUCAAGUCCGCCGUCAAAUCCCAGGGCUCAACCCUGGACAGGCGGUGGAAACUACCAAGCUGGAGUACGGUAGGGGCAGAGGGAAUUUCCGGUGGAGCGGUGAAAUGCAUUGAGAUCGGAAAGAACACCCGUGGCGAAGGCGGCCGGCUGGGCCGGGUCUGACGCUGAGGCGCGAAAGCGUGGGGAGCAAACAGG
This 253-nucleotide ribosomal RNA is filed under the name uncultured bacterium. RNAcentral's name for it is "partial 16S ribosomal RNA". It matches the Rfam family "Bacterial small subunit ribosomal RNA", at positions 524 to 776 of the family's 1533-position model. The record is from RNAcentral.